GACGUAGGGCGCAAGCGUUGUCCGGAUUUAUUGGGCGUAAAGAGCUCGUAGGCGGCUUGUCGCGUCGACUGUGAAAACCUGAGGCUCAACCUCAGGCCUGCAGUCGAUACGAGCAGACUAGAGUGUUGCAGGGGAGACUGGAAUUCCUGGUGUAGCGGUGAAAUGCGCAGAUAUCAGGAGGAACACCGGUGGCGAAGGCGGAUCUCUGGGCCUUACCUGACGCUGAGGCGCGAAAGCUAGGGGAGCGAACAGG
This 253-nucleotide ribosomal RNA is filed under the name uncultured bacterium. RNAcentral describes it as "partial 16S ribosomal RNA". It matches the Rfam family "Bacterial small subunit ribosomal RNA", at positions 524 to 776 of the family's 1533-position model. The record is from RNAcentral.